Molecule: long non-coding RNA, 740 nt
Filed under: Naja naja (Indian cobra)
Lineage: Eukaryota; Metazoa; Chordata; Lepidosauria; Squamata; Elapidae
Description: lncRNA (ENSNNAG00000000983.1)
Source: RNAcentral
AUAUUCAAAGAACUAUUUCUUUAUCAUUAUUUAAUUAUAUUUACAGAACAUACACCAAAAGAAAACAGCUGUUGUAGCCUGUCAGCCGCCGGCCCCUCCAGCAGCCGAAUCAGAGGAGGAGGAGGAGGAGGAAGUGUGGGAGUCAGGGUCGGCAUCAGGGCAACCCGGGAACUGGGGAAGAGGGAAUGGAGCUGGCAGAGAAGAGAGAGAGAGAUAGAGGUGGAGCCUGGGCCAUCCGUCAGCCUUCAGAUGGAGAGUCAACAGCCCCCAGGUCUGAAGGUGGUUGAUGAAGAAGAGGAGGAACAUCUGGGUCCAGUGCCUGACAUUGUUGUGGUUAGCCGACAGCAGAUUUCUCUGCCGAGGGAGCAUGCUCAGUGCUCAUUGUCUUCAGGUGAUCAGGAGACAAGUUACGAUUCACAGAGACAUAGCCCUGCAAAGUCGGGAAUUCCUCUCAGCAGCUUUUAAUUGUGGGGGACAGUGAAGAGGUCCCUGAAAAGGAGCUGGAGACUUCCGGUGACAUGGCAGCAUUGCCAGGCUGGAUGGAGACAUCUGUGGGCCUAUUUCAUCCAUCUUGAAACCAUACUGGUGCUGGAAAGUUGCUCUCUGUGCUGCGGUUGGACACUUGCCUGUUGAUUUUGCUCUUGGGACUCAGGUACUGGAAUCUUUGCAACACUGCCAUUUUUUUAAAAAGAAAAUUGUUUAAUUGUGGGGGCUGCUUCUCACCCAUAAAGCUUUUCAUG